CCUAGUGUCUUCGGUGAUGCAGCUAACGCAUUAAACAUUCCGCCUGGGGAGUACGGUCGCAAGAUUAAAACUCAAAGGAAUAGACGGGGACCCGCACAAGUGGUGGAGCAUGUGGUUUAAUUCGAAGAUACGCGAAGAACCUUACCUAGCCUUGACAUAUUUAAGAACUCCGUAGAGAUACAGAGGUGCCUUCGGGAGCUUUCUUACAGGUGCUGCACGGCUGUCGUCAGCUCGUGUCGUGAGAUGUUGGGUUAAGUCCCGCAACGAGCGCAACCCUCGUCACUAGUUACUAACGGUUCGGCCGAGGACUCUAGUGAGACUGCCUUCGUAAGGAGGAGGAAGGUGAGGACGACGUCAAGUCAUCAUGGCCCUUACGGCUAGGGCAACACACGUGCUACAAUGGCCAGGACAGUGAGACGCGAUACCGUGAGGUGGAGCAAAUCUAUAAACCUGGUCUCAGUUCGGAUUGUAGUCUGCAACUCGACUACAUGAAGCUGGAAUCACUAGUAAUCGUAGAUCAGCUAUGCUACGGUGAAUACGUUCCCGGGUCUUGUACUCACCGCCCGUCACACCAUGGGAGUUGAUUUCACCCGAAGCGGGGAAGCUAAACUGGCUACCCUCCACGGUGGAAUUAGCGACUGGGGUGAAGUCGUAACAAGGUA
RNAcentral lists this ribosomal RNA (662 nucleotides) under uncultured bacterium. RNAcentral describes it as "bacterial SSU rRNA". It matches the Rfam family "Bacterial small subunit ribosomal RNA", at positions 830 to 1498 of the family's 1533-position model. The record is from RNAcentral.